Molecule: non-coding RNA, 111 nt
Filed under: Nocardia seriolae
Lineage: Bacteria; Bacillati; Actinomycetota; Actinomycetes; Mycobacteriales; Nocardiaceae
Description: SAM-IV sequence
Rfam family: SAM (S-adenosyl methionine) riboswitch aptamer
About the family: SAM-IV is a mRNA element that regulates gene expression via direct sensing of S-adenosylmethionine (SAM or AdoMet). SAM-IV riboswitches share conserved nucleotide positions with the previously described SAM-I riboswitches sequence analysis and molecular recognition experiments suggest that SAM-I and SAM-IV riboswitches share similar ligand binding sites, but have different scaffolds.
Source: Rfam by way of RNAcentral
GGUCAAGAGCAUCAGCGCCAAGCCCCGGCUCGCUGAUCGGCAACCCUCCAGCUGCGGUGGGGUGCUCCGGGUGAGGACCGGGCGUUCGAAGGACGAACGCAAGCGCAACUA